This 489-nucleotide ribosomal RNA is filed under the name uncultured bacterium. RNAcentral describes it as "bacterial SSU rRNA". It matches the Rfam family "Bacterial small subunit ribosomal RNA", at positions 28 to 507 of the family's 1533-position model. The record is from RNAcentral.
GAUGAACGCUAGCUACAGGCUUAACACAUGCAAGUCGAGGGGCAGCAUGAACUUAGCUUGCUAAGUUUGAUGGCGACCGGCGCACGGGUGAGUAACACGUAUCCAACCUGCCGAUGACUCGGGGAUAGCCUUUCGAAAGAAAGAUUAAUACCCGAUGGCAUAGUUCUUCCGCAUGGUAGAACUAUUAAAGAAUUUCGGUCAUCGAUGGGGAUGCGUUCCAUUAGGUUGUUGGCGGGGUAACGGCCCACCAAGCCUUCGAUGGAUAGGGGUUCUGAGAGGAAGGUCCCCCACAUUGGAACUGAGACACGGUCCAAACUCCUACGGGAGGCAGCAGUGAGGAAUAUUGGUCAAUGGCCGAGAGGCUGAACCAGCCAAGUCGCGUGAGGGAUGAAGGUUCUAUGGAUCGUAAACCUCUUUUAUAAGGGAAUAAAGUGCGGGACGUGUCCCGUUUUGUAUGUACCUUAUGAAUAAGGAUCGGCUAACUCCGUG